GACGAACGCUGGCGGCGUGCUUAACACAUGCAAGUCGAACGGAAAGGCCCUGCUUUUGUGGGGUUCUCGAGUGGCGAACGGGUGAGUAACACGUGAGUAACCUGCCCUUGACUUUGGGAUAACUUCAGGAAACUGGGGCUAAUACCGGAUAUGAGCUCCUGCUGCAUGGUGUGGGUUGGAAAUUUUCGGCGGUUGGGUACGGACUCGCGGCUUAUCAGCUUGUUUGUGGGGUAGUGUCUUACCAAGGCUUUGACGGGUAGCCGGCCUGAGAGGGUGACCGGCCACAUUGGGACUGAGAUACGGAACAGACUCCUACGGGAGGCAGCAGUGGGGAAUAUUGCACAAUGGGCGGAAGCCUGAUGCAGCAACGCAGCGUGCGGGAUGACGGCCUUCGGGUUGUAAACCGAUUUCGCCUGUGACGAAGCGUGAGUGACGGUAAUGGGUAAAGAAGCACCGGCUAACUACGUG
RNAcentral lists this ribosomal RNA (468 nucleotides) under uncultured bacterium. RNAcentral's name for it is "partial 16S ribosomal RNA". It matches the Rfam family "Bacterial small subunit ribosomal RNA", at positions 28 to 507 of the family's 1533-position model. The record is from RNAcentral.